GCGGGCGUAGCUCAGGUUGGUAGAGCGCAACCUUGCCAAGGUUGAGGUCGCCGGUUCGAACCCGGUCGCCCGCU
This 74-nucleotide transfer RNA is filed under the name Gemmatimonadota bacterium. RNAcentral describes it as "tRNA-Gly". It matches the Rfam family "tRNA". From Rfam's summary of the family: Transfer RNA (tRNA) molecules are approximately 80 nucleotides in length. Their secondary structure includes four short double-helical elements and three loops (D, anti-codon, and T loops). Further hydrogen bonds mediate the characteristic L-shaped molecular structure. tRNAs have two regions of fundamental functional importance: the anti-codon, which is responsible for specific mRNA codon recognition, and the 3' end, to which the tRNAs corresponding amino acid is attached (by aminoacyl-tRNA synthetases). tRNAs cope with the degeneracy of the genetic code in two manners: having more than one tRNA (with a specific anti-codon) for a particular amino acid; and 'wobble' base-pairing, i.e. permitting non-standard base-pairing at the 3rd anti-codon position. RNAcentral also lists the same sequence under 2 other names. The record is from RNAcentral. Lineage: Bacteria; Pseudomonadati; Gemmatimonadota.